GGUAGCGUGGCCGAGUGGUCUCUGGCGCUGGUUUUAGGCACCAGUCAUUUCGAUGACGUGAGUGCGAAUCCCACCGCUGCCA
RNAcentral lists this transfer RNA (82 nucleotides) under Paramuricea clavata. It matches the Rfam family "tRNA". From Rfam's summary of the family: Transfer RNA (tRNA) molecules are approximately 80 nucleotides in length. Their secondary structure includes four short double-helical elements and three loops (D, anti-codon, and T loops). Lineage: Eukaryota; Metazoa; Cnidaria; Anthozoa; Malacalcyonacea; Plexauridae. The record is from Rfam by way of RNAcentral.